RNAcentral lists this transfer RNA (74 nucleotides) under Thermoleophilaceae bacterium. Its description in RNAcentral is "tRNA-Thr". It matches the Rfam family "tRNA". From Rfam's summary of the family: Transfer RNA (tRNA) molecules are approximately 80 nucleotides in length. Their secondary structure includes four short double-helical elements and three loops (D, anti-codon, and T loops). Lineage: Bacteria; Bacillati; Actinomycetota; Thermoleophilia; Thermoleophilales; Thermoleophilaceae. The record is from RNAcentral. RNAcentral also lists the same sequence under 1 other name.
GCCGGGAUAGCUCAGUUGGCCAGAGCGUUCGCCUUGUAAGCGAAGGGUCGCCGGUUCGAAUCCGGCUCCCGGCU